UGGGGAAUCUUGCACAAUGGGGGAAACCCUGAUGCAGCGACGCCGCGUGAGCGAUGAAGGUUUUCGAAUCGUAAAGCUCUGUCCUCUGGGAAGAUAAUGACGGUACCAUGGGAGGAAGCCCCGGCUAACUACGUGCCAGCAGCCGCGGUAAUACGUAGGGGGCGAGCGUUGUCCGGAAUUACUGGGCGUAAAGGGUUCGCAGGCGGCAUGGCAAGUCCGAUGUAAAAGGCGAAGGCUCAACCUUCGUAAGCAUCGGAAACUGUCAAGCUUGAGUGAAGGAGAGGCAAAUGGAAUACCUAGUGUAGCGGUGGAAUGCGUAGAUAUUAGGAGGAAUACCGGUAGCGAAGGCGACUUGCUGGACUUCAACUGACGCUGAGAAACGAAAGAGUGGGUAGAAAACAGG
This 403-nucleotide ribosomal RNA is filed under the name Fusobacteriota bacterium. Its description in RNAcentral is "Fusobacteria bacterium partial 16S ribosomal RNA". It matches the Rfam family "Bacterial small subunit ribosomal RNA", at positions 355 to 776 of the family's 1533-position model. Lineage: Bacteria; Fusobacteriati; Fusobacteriota. The record is from RNAcentral.